GUAGGUGGCAAGCGUUGUCCGGAAUUAUUGGGCGUAAAGCGCGCGCAGGUGGCUCUUUAAGUCUGAUGUGAAAGCCCCCGGCUCAACCGGGGAGGGUCAUUGGAAACUGGGGAACUUGAGUGCAGGAGAGGAAAGUGGAAUUCCACGUGUAGCGGUGAAAUGCGUAGAUAUGUGGAGGAACACCAGUGGCGAAGGCGACUUUCUGGCCUGUGACUGACACUGAGGCGCGAAAGCGUGGGGAGCAAACAGGGAUUAGAUACCCUGGUAGUCCACGCCGUAAACGAUGAGUGCUAAGUGUUGGGGGGGUUUCCGCCCCCUCAGUGCUGCAGCUAACGCAUUAAGCACUCCGCCUGGGAGUACGGUCGCAAGACUG
Molecule: ribosomal RNA, 373 nt
Filed under: uncultured organism
Description: partial 16S ribosomal RNA
Rfam family: Bacterial small subunit ribosomal RNA
Source: RNAcentral